AUACGUAGGUGACAAGCGUUAUCCGGAUUUACUGGGCGUAAAGGGCGUGUAGGCGGUCUUGCAAGUCAGAAGUGAAAUUCCUGAGCUCAACUCGGGCGCUGCUUCUGAAACUGCAGGACUUGAGUGCUGGAGGGGAUAGCGGAAUUCCUAGUGGAGCGGUAAAAUGCGCAGAUAUUAGGAAGAACACCGGUGGCGAAGGCGGCUAUCUGGACAGUAACUGACGCUGAGGCGCGAAAGCGUGGGGAGCAAACAGGAUUAGAUACCCUGGUAGUCCACGCUGUAAACGAUGAAUACUAGGUGUGGGGGGACUGACCCCCUCCGUGCCGCAGUUAACACAAUAAGUAUUCCACCUGGGGAGUACGAUCGCAAGAUUGAAACUCAAAUGAAUUGACGGGG
This 396-nucleotide ribosomal RNA is filed under the name uncultured bacterium. RNAcentral's name for it is "partial 16S ribosomal RNA". It matches the Rfam family "Bacterial small subunit ribosomal RNA", at positions 523 to 918 of the family's 1533-position model. The record is from RNAcentral.